Non-coding RNA from Canis lupus familiaris (dog), 95 nucleotides. NCBI's taxonomy places the organism in Eukaryota, Metazoa, Chordata, Mammalia, Carnivora, Canidae. The record is from Rfam.
CGGGGGUGAGCAUAGGAUCCUGGGCUGUGUCUGCUCGAGCCCUGGGAUCCGGGGCCUGCGCUGCUGGAAUCGCGCUCCCGGCCGCAAGGCUCCCG